This 478-nucleotide ribosomal RNA is filed under the name uncultured bacterium. Its description in RNAcentral is "partial 16S ribosomal RNA". It matches the Rfam family "Bacterial small subunit ribosomal RNA", at positions 28 to 507 of the family's 1533-position model. The record is from RNAcentral.
GAUGAACGCUGGCGGCAGGCUUAACACAUGCAAGUCGAGGGGUAUUUCUCUUCGGAUAGAGAGUCCGGCGCACGGGUGCGUAACGCGUAUGCAAUCUUCCCUUUACCUAGGGAUAGCCCAGAGAACAUUGGAUUAAUACUACAUAGUAACUAGACUCGGCAUUGCGAUUAUAUUAAAGUAACAACGGUAAAAGAUGAGCAGGCGUCCCAUGAGCUAGUUGGUAAGGUAACGGCUUACCAAGGCUACGAUGGGUAGGGGUCCUGAGGGGGAGGUCCCCCAGACGGGGACUGCGACCCGGACCAGACACCUACGGGACGCAGCAGUAAGGAAGACAGGAGAAGGGGCGCUAGCCUGAUCCAGCCAUGCCGGGUGCAGGAAGACGGUGCUAGGGAUGGUGAACUGCUGGUAGACAAGAGGAAACACUGCUACGGGUGGCAGCUUGACGGUAACGGAAGAAUAAGGACCGGCUAACUCCGUG